CUUUUAUGCAAAUAAGAUGUUGGCCAGGACACCCCCACCCAUCCUAUGUUUACGCUGAGCGAUUAUCACAUGUGAAAAUAACAGAAAACAGAGGCGCUGUCCAACCCUAUAAGGGGGGAAUAAGACUCUGUGUGGCCUGUAAUCAGCGGCGCUGCCUGGGCUGGAGGCUGACAUGUCCAGCGUGAAGCGUCGAGAUGUGAACUGCAGACACCAGCAGCAAUAAAACUGGAGUCAGAAAAUCCCGGCCCA
RNAcentral lists this long non-coding RNA (249 nucleotides) under Astyanax mexicanus (Mexican tetra). RNAcentral describes it as "lncRNA (ENSAMXG00005005164.1)". The record is from RNAcentral. Lineage: Eukaryota; Metazoa; Chordata; Actinopteri; Characiformes; Acestrorhamphidae.